This 254-nucleotide ribosomal RNA is filed under the name uncultured bacterium. RNAcentral's name for it is "partial 16S ribosomal RNA". It matches the Rfam family "Bacterial small subunit ribosomal RNA", at positions 524 to 776 of the family's 1533-position model. The record is from RNAcentral.
UACGGGGGGAGCAAGCGUUGUUCGGAUUUACUGGGCGUAAAGGGCGCGUAGGCGGCCAGCACAAGUCAGUUGUGAAAUCUCCGAGCUUAACUCGGAAAGGUCAACUGAUACUGUGCGGCUAGAGUGCAGAAGGGGCAACUGGAAUUCUUGGUGUAGCGGUGAAAUGCGUAGAUAUCAAGAGGAACACCGGCGGCGAGGGCGGGUUGCUGGGCUGACACUGACGCUGAGGCGCGAAAGCUAGGGGAGCGAACGGG